This 313-nucleotide ribosomal RNA is filed under the name uncultured bacterium. Its description in RNAcentral is "bacterial SSU rRNA". It matches the Rfam family "Bacterial small subunit ribosomal RNA", at positions 30 to 341 of the family's 1533-position model. The record is from RNAcentral.
AUUGAACGCUGGCGGAAUGCUUUACACAUGCAAGUCGAACGGCAGCACGGGGCAACCUGGUGGCGAGUGGCGAACGGGUGAGUAAUACAUCGGAACGUGCCCAGUCGUGGGGGAGUAACGUAGCGAAGUUACGCUAAUACCGCAUACGAUCUAUGGAUGAAAGACGGGGGAGUCGCAAGACCUCGCGCGAUUGGAGCGGCCGAUGUCAGAUUAGGUAGUUGGUGGGGUAAAGGCCCUACCAAGCCGACGAUCUGUAGCUGGUCUGAGAGGACGACCAGCCACACUGGGACGUGAGACACGGCCCAGACUCCUA